UACGUAGGGGGCAAGCGUUGUCCGGAAUCAUUGGGCGUAAAGCGCGUGUAGGCGGCUCGAUAAGUCCGUUCUGAAAGUCCAGGGCUCAACCCUGGGAUGCGGAUGGAUACUGGCGAGCUCGAGUCCGGAAGAGGCAAGUGGAAUUCCUGGUGUAGCGGUGGAAUGCGCAGAUAUCAGGAGGAACACCUAUAGCGAAGGCAGCUUGCUGGGACGUUACUGACGCUAAGGCGCGAAAGCGUGGGGAGCGAACAGG
RNAcentral lists this ribosomal RNA (253 nucleotides) under uncultured bacterium. Its description in RNAcentral is "partial 16S ribosomal RNA". It matches the Rfam family "Bacterial small subunit ribosomal RNA", at positions 524 to 776 of the family's 1533-position model. The record is from RNAcentral.